ACUAAAGCUAGCCCAAAUAACAAACAACUAAACUACAAAGCAAGCAUCAAACAAAACAUUUAGUCAUACAUUAAAGUAUAGGAGAUAGAAAUUUUAACUGGAGCUAUAGAGACAGUACCGCAAGGGAAAGAUGAAAGAGAGUUCAAAGUAAAAAAUAGCAAAGAUUACCCCUUCUACCUUUUGCAUAAUGAGUUAGCUAGAACAACUUAACAAAGAGAACUUAAGCUAAGUCCCCCGAAACCAGACGAGCUACCUACGAACAAUCCCCUGGGAUGAACUCAUCUAUGUGGCAAAAUAGUGAGAAGAUUUGCAGGUAGAGGUGAAAAGCCUAACGAGCCUGGUGAUAGCUGGUUACCCAGAAUAGAAUUUCAGUUCAACUUUAAACUUACCCAAAACCCCAAGAAUUUUAAUGUAAGCUUAAAAUAUAAUCUAAAAAGGUACAGCUUUUUAGAUCAAGGAUACAACCUUACUUAGAGAGUAAACAUAAAUAAGACCAUAGUAGGCCUAAAAGCAGCCAUCAAUUAAGAAAGCGUUAAAGCUCAACAAUUCAAUCAACAUAAUACCAAAAGAACUCAAAACAACUCCUAACGUACUACUGGGUCAAUCUAUUCAAUUAUAGAAGAGACAAUGCUAAUAUGAGUAACAAGAAACCUUUUCUCCUUGCAUAAACUUAUAGCCGAAACGGAUAUCCACUGAUAGUUAACAACAAGAUAAAAUUAACUAACCAAUUAAUACACCUAUCAAACUAAUUGUUAAGCCAACACAGGAAUGCAGCCAAGGAAAGAUUAAAAGAAGUAAAAGGAACUCGGCAAACACAAACCCCGCCUGUUUACCAAAAACAUCACCUCCAGCAUUACUAGUAUUGGAGGCACUGCCUGCCCAGUGACGUAAGUUAAACGGCCGCGGUAUCCUGACCGUGCAAAGGUAGCAUAAUCAUUUGUUCUAUAAAUAAGGACUUGUAUGAAUGGCCACACGAGGGUUUAACUGUCUCUUACUUCCAAUCAGUGAAAUUGACCUUCCCGUGAAGAGGCGGGAAUAAAAUAAUAAGACGAGAAGACCCUAUGGAGCUUUAAUUAACUAACUCAACAGAGCAAAUCCAGUCAACCAACAGGGAAUAAAAAUUUCUACAAUGAGUUAGCAAUUUAGGUUGGGGUGACCUCGGAGAACAAAACAACCUCCGAGUGAUAUAAACUAAGACAAACCAGUCAAAGUGCCACAUCAUUAAUUGAUCCAAAAAUUUUUGAUCAACGGAACAAGUUACCCUAGGGAUAACAGCGCAAUCCUGUUUGAGAGUCCAUAUCGACAAUAGGGUUUACGACCUCGAUGUUGGAUCAGGACAUCCUAAUGGUGCAGCAGCUAUUAAGGGUUCGUUUGUUCAACGAUUAAAGUCCUACGUGAUCUGAGUUCAGACCGGAGUAAUCCAGGUCGGUUUCUAUCUAUUAACCAGUUCCUCCCAGUACGAAAGGACAAGAGAAACAAGGCCCACCUCAACACAGGCGCCUUAAGACUAAUAGAUGAUAUAAUCUCAAUCUAACCAGUCUAAUCCCCCAUGAGUCCAAGAAACAGGACUU
This 1571-nucleotide ribosomal RNA is filed under the name Phoca largha (spotted seal). RNAcentral describes it as "16S ribosomal RNA". It matches the Rfam family "Bacterial large subunit ribosomal RNA", at positions 426 to 2925 of the family's 2925-position model. Lineage: Eukaryota; Metazoa; Chordata; Mammalia; Carnivora; Phocidae. The record is from RNAcentral.